This is a long non-coding RNA of Coregonus clupeaformis (lake whitefish), 610 nucleotides long. RefSeq lists it as uncharacterized. The record is from RefSeq and is a predicted model, not a curated record. The transcript is spliced from 3 exons. NCBI's taxonomy places the organism in Eukaryota, Metazoa, Chordata, Actinopteri, Salmoniformes, Salmonidae.
CGGACCCUCUGUGAGGCUGCCUGUGUGGAGAGAGAUAGGCUCCUAGAGCUAUUAAAGCUUCAGCAAUCCAGGAGCGGGAGGCAGGGGGAAUCAUCCUCUCGAAGCCCUGAACUAACUACCCAGCUGGCGGUGCUGCAGGGGAGAACGAGGCUCUGAGUGGCUGAGCUGAGGUGCACUCUCCAGGCCAAGGCUGAGGACCUGCAGCUCUGCAGUGACAUGAUGAACCAAGUCAAGCACGUCUUCCUGCAGGCGCUGCGACAACACAAGUAGGACAGGGACACAAACCAGGGGAGUUAGUUAGCUAGCUAUAUUAUAAUAGGCCCUGGCUGGCUGCUGGACUUCAACAACGUCCAGUCAUAUCAGCUCUGAGGAAGAACAUGAGUGGAGCAGGCCUGUCUGUACAAUUACCAGUCAUUACUGGUUCCUGGUCUCCUGACUGCUCCCUGCUAACCCUGUUCACCCCGAAAAGAUAAUUACCUCCUUUGAUGGCCCCCAUGUAGUGAAUAUGAGCAAGCCAAUCAAAGCCAACUAGCCAAUCAAAGCCAACUAGGCCCCUGAGGACCAAAAGGCUUAUCAACCUUGACAUGAAGAUGUCACAGAGUGGCUCCUA